AGAGUUUGAUCCUGGCUCAGAAUGUACGCUGGCGGCACGCCUAACACAUGCAAGUCGAGCGAGGUACUUGUACCUAGCGGCAGACGGGUGCGUAACAUGUGGGAAUCUGCCUUUUGGUUCGGAACAACAUGGGGAAACCUGUGCUAAUACCGGAUAAGUCCUUACGGAGAAAGAUUUAUCGCCGAAAGAUGAGCCCGCACUAGAUUAGCUUGUUGGUAAGGUAAAAGCUUACCAAGGCUACGAUCUAUAGCUGAUUUGAGAGGAUGAUCAGCCACACUGGGACUGAGACACGGCCCAGACUCCUACGGGAGGCAGCAGUGGGGAAUCUUGCACAAUGGAGGAAACUCUGAUGCAGCGAUGCCGCGUGAGUGAAGAAGGCCCUUGGGUUGUAAAGCUCUUUUGUCGGGAAAGAUAAUGACUGUACCCGAAGAAUAAGGUCCGGCUAACUUCGUGCCAGCAGCCGCGGUAAUACGAAGGGACCUAGCGUAAUUCGGAAUUACUGGGCGUAAAGCGCGCGUAGGCGGUUAAGUAAGUUAAUUGUGAAAGCCCAAAGCUCAACUUUGGAAUUGCAAUUAAAACUAUUUAGCUAGAGUUUAUCAGAGGAAAGCGGAAUACAUAGUGUAGAGGUGAAAUUCGUAGAUAUUAUGUAGAACACCAGUUGCGAAGGCGGCUUUCUGGGAUAACACUGACGCUGAGGUGCGAAAGUAUGGGUAGCGAAGAGGAUUAGAUACCCUCGUAGUCCAUACCGUAAACGAUGAUUGUUAGAUGUUGGAAAUUUAUUUUCAGUAUCACAGCUAACGCGUUAAACAAUCCGCCUGGGGAGUACGACCGCAAGGUUAAAACUCAAAGGAAUUGACGG
Molecule: ribosomal RNA, 859 nt
Filed under: uncultured marine bacterium
Lineage: Bacteria
Description: bacterial SSU rRNA
Rfam family: Bacterial small subunit ribosomal RNA
Source: RNAcentral